Molecule: transfer RNA, 69 nt
Filed under: Bos taurus (domestic cattle)
Lineage: Eukaryota; Metazoa; Chordata; Mammalia; Artiodactyla; Bovidae
Also listed under: 4 other names
Rfam family: tRNA
About the family: Transfer RNA (tRNA) molecules are approximately 80 nucleotides in length. Their secondary structure includes four short double-helical elements and three loops (D, anti-codon, and T loops).
Source: Rfam by way of RNAcentral
CCUGAUGGCUCAGAGGUUAAAGCGUCUACUUCCAAUGCAGGAGGCCCAGGUUCGAUCCCUGGGUCAGGA